AAAUCAGUUUUGCAGAUCCUGAACUGCAUUUCCAUUAAAGACAAAAGAAAUAAUCAAAUUUGAAUUGAGCUUCAAGAUUGUUAAAUUGCAUGUUUAAAUACUACUCUAAAACUAUUAUUGCCCUUUGCCUAUAUAGUCAUUUUCUUGAUAAUGGCUUGUUUAGAUUUCCAACUGUCCUAUUCCCAAAGCCAAUGUAAAGUAUAUCUCAGGUUAUAAUAAAAGUCACUUUAAUUCAGAUCUUCUUGUAUAUCAUUUCCUAGAUCUUAUCCAUAGAGGUGUAAAUCUUCAUAAAUAUCAGUCUCGCAGGCAAAAACAAAUAGUUUUACCAUUUUUGUCUUUACUAUGAGACAAUCAUCCAAACUGGGCAAUUUAUGAAGACCAUUUAUCAUUCAGGAAUUAUUAUAUGCAAAAGCAAAAAGGUGGAAAGUGUCCAUGCCGAUGGCAGAUUCUGGAAAAAGUAAUAUUCCUAUACCUUGGAAGAGAUGCAACACCUCUGUAUUUUUUCUUCCUGCCCCAAUUUACAAAACCUCUAUGUAAACUGCAGAAUUUUGAAAUAGAAAGAAAAAGAAGAGAAAGCAUUAAGCUAGCAGUUUCUUUUGUUCAUUCUAAUAUUUUAGAUACAGACUAUCCUAGGUUUCUCUUGUCUUUUUUUUUUUUAAAAAAAAAAUCAGAAAUAUAAUAGAACUUCAUUGAAUGUGUGUCUUGCUUGAGCUUCAGAGAAAAGGUGUCUGCCCAAAGACUGUGCUCUUUUUACUGACUGAGUGAAAGAACCGAGCCUGCUUUUCUCCUUCCCUGAAGCCUUAACUCAGGUAUCUCAAAAGUGGGCCACACAUAAUCACCAAAAUUCUGGGUCACCUUCCUUUGAACAUAUCUUCCCACUUUCAUGGUUAACUUUCGGUCUGAUCUACACUUGAAUAAUACUUCUACAAAUGUGCUAACAAUCCUUACAAUCUUUCUACAAAACUCAGUAGGUGUAAUGUUUUCCUUGUGUUAUUUCUAAAGCAGAUGAUUAAUAUAUUCUUUUCACUCUUCUGCUCAAAAUUGAUUUUAAAAAUGCAUCUACAUAAAAGCUGACAUCUUCCCGUGUCAAAAUAUUUAUUAAACUAUAGGCCCUAAUCAUAGCUUGCUGAAAAGUCUCUCUGAAAUCACAUCUUUCAGUGAGUGUUAAUUUUGCAAAUCUAGCUUGUUUAAUUCCUUUAAGCAGCCAUGUUUGCUCUAUUACUUGCUGGAAGUAAGAUUUAUGUUUGCUUUCAUCACAACAGAAAAGAUCGAUCAAUACAGGUAAUAAAUCUUUAAAUGCUUUUUAACCUUACAUGCUCUUUAUAAGUUGAGAGGUAAUCAAUAGCUGUGACAGAAAAACUGCAUGCGAGUCAUCUCUCAAAUCUGCUUGGUUUUUAUGACAUAAUGUCAAUAGUUUAGAAUGUAAAUGCCAUGAUCAAUUUUCUGUCCUUCUGAAAAAAAGGCUCUAUAUAAGAUAGCAUAAUUAUUUCUUUAAAAAGUAUUGCUAGAGAUAAAAUGACCACAGAUAGAUCUUUAUAUUUAGCUAGGUGCUCUGUCAAACUGGACAAUCCAAUUACUUCAUUAGAACAAUCUGUUUAGCACACUAGUUUGGACAGCAUUUCUGUGAAACAAUGAUGACCUAUAUUCUUUCCUUGUUGGUUCAUCAAAGCAAAUGUAUGCUUGAGAAGCUUAUUGCAGCCAAAGCAGCUCUAUAAGGUAUGGGGCCAGUUUCUUCCAAGUUACAGCCUAAUACUAUCAAGUUGGCCUUAAUGAUUUAACAUUAAUUUCAACAUCUGCUCAAAGUUAUUGUGACUAUCCUUUUAACCUAUCUGUUUGGUAAAGUUUACCCCACACUUGGGUCCCUCUUAAAUUAUGAGAUUUAAAGAAGUUAGCUAUCUAUGCCAUUGGGCUCAAUAGGAUUUGAAUAACUUUUGAGUAAUUUAUGUACAACUGAUCUCGUUGAGACUGAAAUACAAAUAACCUAUCUUAGAAUUGUAAAAUAUACAUAUUUU
RNAcentral lists this long non-coding RNA (2012 nucleotides) under Anolis carolinensis (green anole). RNAcentral describes it as "lncRNA (ENSACAG00000045431.1)". The record is from RNAcentral. Lineage: Eukaryota; Metazoa; Chordata; Lepidosauria; Squamata; Anolidae.